GAGGUAGUUGUUCAGUCGUAGAACACUUGCCUUGAAGGCCUGGGAGUCUAGGUUUGAUUCCUAGUACUUUA
RNAcentral lists this transfer RNA (71 nucleotides) under Rattus norvegicus (Norway rat). It matches the Rfam family "tRNA". From Rfam's summary of the family: Transfer RNA (tRNA) molecules are approximately 80 nucleotides in length. The record is from Rfam by way of RNAcentral. Lineage: Eukaryota; Metazoa; Chordata; Mammalia; Rodentia; Muridae.